Nicotiana tabacum (common tobacco) is the source of this 764-nucleotide long non-coding RNA. RefSeq lists it as uncharacterized. NCBI's taxonomy places the organism in Eukaryota, Viridiplantae, Streptophyta, Magnoliopsida, Solanales, Solanaceae. The record is from RefSeq and is a predicted model, not a curated record.
UUUCCUCUUAAUAAUGGUUUCCAACCGUUUCUAACAAACCCUUUAUUCUGCUGCUACUCUCUUUUUCAUGGGAAAAAAGUUGUUACUCUUUCCUUUCUUUGCAAUUUGGACAACCCUAGCCAAUGUCAAAAUUGCAUCACAUGUGGUGAUCUGAAUUGAAACCCAAUAGUUUUCAUUCAAGUUGGUAACUUAAGCGACAAAAAGGUAGAUGUUGUCACAAUAAUUUCAAGCUUUUCGUCACUUGGCCUCACUUUUUUGGUGCUUCAAUCACAAAGGAGAAGAGAAGUAUUUUUUUUCAGUAAAAGAUCAACCACUAUUAUCAUUACUUGGUUUUGAGAGAGUAUGAGUCGCUAGGGGUACUCCAGUGAAAUUCUUUACUCUUUGUCAUUUUCCAUUCCAUUUGGAUUUCACAGUGUUCGUCUUCAAAUUGAUAUUCGGUUUUGGCAAGGGCUACAACUGAACAUUCAAAUAAUUACCCUCCAAAGCAAUAACAAACUGUGAGACACCCGAGAAAUGAGAAAUAGUCAUGUAGUAAAUAUUACAAAGACCAUAAAUAGCUUACAAAAAGUCUGACAAGAAACAAUGAAGUCUUGUAACUUUUGUUGAAAGAAAAUGCAUAUACUACCGUUGAAACAAACUCAAAUUAUCAAGUUAGUACUAAAGUGAGGAAGAUGUUGCGAGAAAAACUUAUAAUCAUCACAUAAUCCAAGCAAAUAUGUAUCAUUAUUUUUUUGAUCAGUAAUUGUAUAUUAUUCUUCAGUUAA